CAUUGAUGAUAACUUACAAUUGCCAUCCGCCUGGGGACUACGAGCACCAGCUUAAAACCCAAAGGACUUGGCGGUGCUUUAGACCCACCUAGAGGAGCCUGUUCUAGAACCGAUAACCCCCGUUCAACCUCACCCUUCCUUGUUCUCCCCGCCUAUAUACCACCGUCGUCAGCUUACCCUGUGAAGGGCUAAUAGUAAGCAAAACUGGCAAAGCCCAAAACGUCAGGUCGAGGUGUAGCGUAUGGAAGGGGAAGAAAUGGGCUACAUUCACUAACUCAGUGUACACGAAUGACACCCUGAAACACGUGUCUGAAGGAGGAUUUAGCAGUAAGUAGAAAAUAGAGUGUUCUACUGAAACUGGCCCUGAAGCGCGC
Molecule: ribosomal RNA, 374 nt
Filed under: Ctenochaetus cyanocheilus
Lineage: Eukaryota; Metazoa; Chordata; Actinopteri; Acanthuriformes; Acanthuridae
Description: partial 12S ribosomal RNA
Rfam family: Bacterial small subunit ribosomal RNA
Source: RNAcentral